RNAcentral lists this ribosomal RNA (583 nucleotides) under uncultured Ascomycota. Its description in RNAcentral is "eukaryotic LSU rRNA". The stretch from base 217 to 370 matches the Rfam family "5.8S ribosomal RNA". Lineage: Eukaryota; Fungi; Ascomycota. The record is from RNAcentral.
CUUGGCAUUUAGAGGAAGUAAAAGUCGUAACAAGGUCUCCGUCGGUGAACCAGCGGAGGGAUCAUUACCGAGUUUACAACUCCCAAACCCCUGUGAACAUACCUAUACGUUGCCUCGGCGGAUCAGCCCGCGCCCCGUAAAAAGGGACAGCCCGCCCGAGGACCCCUAAACUCUGUUUUUAGUGGAACUUCUGAGUAAAACAAACAAAUAAAUCAAAACUUUCAACAACGGAUCUCUUGGUUCUGGCACCGAUGAAGAACGCAGCAAAAUGCGAUAAGUAAUGUGAAUUGCAGAAUUCAGUGAAUCAUCGAAUCUUUGAACGCACAUUGCGCCCGCCAGUAUUCUGGCGGGCAUGCCUGUUCGAGCGUCAUUUCAACCCUCAAGCUCAGCUUGGUGUUGGGACUCGCGGUAACCCGCGUUCCCCAAAUCGAUUGGCGGUCACGUCGAGCUUCCAUAGCGUAGUAAUCAUACACCUCGUUACUGGUAAUCGUCGCGGCCACGCCGUAAAACCCCAACUUCUGAAUGUUGACCUCGGAUCAGGUAGGAAUACCCGCUGAACUUAAGCAUAUCAAUAAGCGGAGGA